RNAcentral lists this ribosomal RNA (446 nucleotides) under uncultured bacterium. RNAcentral describes it as "bacterial SSU rRNA". It matches the Rfam family "Bacterial small subunit ribosomal RNA", at positions 329 to 793 of the family's 1533-position model. The record is from RNAcentral.
UCCCAGACUCCUACGGGAGGCAGCAGUGGGGAAUAUUGCACAAUGGGGGAAACCCUGAUGCAGCGACGCCGCGUGAGCGAAGAAGUACCUCGGUAUGUAAAGCUCUAUCAGCAGGGAAGAAAGUGACAGUACCUGACUAAGAAGCCCCGGCUAACUCCGUGCCAGCAGCCGCGGUAAUACGGAGGAUGCGAGCGUUAUCCGGAUUUAUUGGGUUUAAAGGGUGCGCAGGCGGCACGGCAAGCCGGCGGUCAAAUCGCGGGGCUCAACCCCGCCCAGCCGUCGGAACUGCCGGGCUAGAGUGGGCGAGAAGUGCGCGGAAUGCGUGGUGUAGCGGUGAAAUGCAUAGAUAUCACGCAGAACUCCGAUUGCGAAGGCAGCGCACCGGCGCCCUACUGACGCUCAGGCACGAAAGCGUGGGUAUCGAACAGGAUUAGAUACCCGUGUAU